RNAcentral lists this ribosomal RNA (425 nucleotides) under uncultured bacterium. RNAcentral describes it as "partial 16S ribosomal RNA". It matches the Rfam family "Bacterial small subunit ribosomal RNA", at positions 354 to 796 of the family's 1533-position model. The record is from RNAcentral.
GUGGGGAAUCUUGCGCAAUGGGCGAAAGCCUGACGCAGCCAUGCCGCGUGAAUGAUGAAGGUCUUAGGAUUGUAAAAUUCUUUCACCGGGGACGAUAAUGACGGUACCCGGAGAAGAAGCCCCGGCUAACUUCGUGCCAGCAGCCGCGGUAAUACGAAGGGGGCUAGCGUUGCUCGGAAUUACUGGGCGUAAAGGGCGCGUAGGCGGACAGUUUAGUCAGAGGUGAAAGCCCAGGGCUCAACCUUGGAAUUGCCUUUGAUACUGGCUGUCUUGAGUUUGGGAGAGGUGAGUGGAACUCCGAGUGUAGAGGUGAAAUUCGUAGAUAUUCGGAAGAACACCAGUGGCGAAGGCGACUCACUGGCCCAAUACUGACGCUGAGGUGCGAAAGCGUGGGGAGCAAACAGGAUUAGAUACCCUUGUAGUCC